UUCCUGGAGAACUAGUGGUUACGCCACAGCACUCUCACUGCUGCGGCUCGGGUUCGAUUCCUAGCCAGGGAA
Pangasius djambal is the source of this 72-nucleotide non-coding RNA. Lineage: Eukaryota; Metazoa; Chordata; Actinopteri; Siluriformes; Pangasiidae. The record is from the annotation of a GenBank genome assembly.